RNAcentral lists this ribosomal RNA (219 nucleotides) under Triticum aestivum (bread wheat). Its description in RNAcentral is "partial small subunit ribosomal RNA". The record is from RNAcentral. Lineage: Eukaryota; Viridiplantae; Streptophyta; Magnoliopsida; Poales; Poaceae.
AUGGAGACGGAGUGGAUCUCAGCUCCUGUCGACGGGAGGGCUCCAUUUUCUGGUUUUAGGGUUAAGACUUCUUCUGGCUGUGGGUAUCUCUGGAUCGUCAAUGAGCUUUAUCGACGGUUCUUCCUCCUUCAUCUUCGGGACGGAUGUGGUCUUCUUGACCCGUUCGGCGACUUUCCGUCCUCAUCCAACUACGUCAGGUCGACACGGUCUGGAGGUUGA